Small nucleolar RNA from Nannospalax galili (Upper Galilee mountains blind mole rat), 125 nucleotides. The record is from Ensembl. NCBI's taxonomy places the organism in Eukaryota, Metazoa, Chordata, Mammalia, Rodentia, Spalacidae.
ACCCUGUGGUUGCUGGAGGUAGGUACAGUUCUCCAGUGGGUACAGUGGGCCAGAGAAAUCCUGUGAUUUAUGUAUGGGAGCUGUUUCUUCUCAGCAGCUGCCAUAACCCAGUCACUGGUACAUUG